Molecule: long non-coding RNA, 286 nt
Organism: Limulus polyphemus (Atlantic horseshoe crab)
Lineage: Eukaryota; Metazoa; Arthropoda; Merostomata; Xiphosura; Limulidae
Exons: 2
Source: RefSeq, a predicted model, not a curated record
AAUUCCACUUGACAAACACAUAAUGAAGCAUAUUUUAUUUAAAGAGAUAUUACUUGCACUUCUUUUUUUCUUCUAACUGAUCGGAAUAACAAGUGUUUAAAUUAUUCUGGUAAGAUGGCAGUGUUUUAGGAAGAACAUUUUCAUUACUGGGGCUUUUUAGAUUUCACCCAAGCCUUGAAUCCUUGGAGAGGUUCAUCGUUCAUGGCUUUAUAGUCAGGUAUUUCUUCUUUAACUUUAGCCAUCCAUGCAGAUAUUUUAGGAAAACUGCUGAAUUUGUAGUCUAAUA